This 686-nucleotide ribosomal RNA is filed under the name Salmonella enterica subsp. enterica serovar Muenster. RNAcentral describes it as "partial 23S ribosomal RNA". It matches the Rfam family "Bacterial large subunit ribosomal RNA", at positions 583 to 1269 of the family's 2925-position model. Lineage: Bacteria; Pseudomonadati; Pseudomonadota; Gammaproteobacteria; Enterobacterales; Enterobacteriaceae. The record is from RNAcentral.
CUUUGGGGUGUGACUGCGUACCUUUUGUAUAAUGGGUCAGCGACUUAUAUUCUGUAGCAAGGUUAACCGUAUAGGGGAGCCGGAGGGAAACCGAGUCUUAAUUGGGCGUUAAGUUGCAGGGUAUAGACCCGAAACCCGGUGAUCUAGCCAUGGGCAGGUUGAAGGUUGGGUAACACUAACUGGAGGACCGAACCGACUAAUGUUGAAAAAUUAGCGGAUGACCUGUGGCUGGGGGUGAAAGGCCAAUCAAACCGGGAGAUAGCUGGUUCUCCCCGAAAGCUAUUUAGGUAGCGCCUCGUGAAUUCAUCUCCGGGGGUAGAGCACUGUUUCGGCUAGGGGGCCAUCCCGGCUUACCAACCCGAUGCAAACUGCGAAUACCGGAGAAUGUUAUCACGGGAGACACACGGCGGGUGCUAACGUCCGUCGUGAAGAGGGAAACAACCCAGACCGCCAGCUAAGGUCCCAAAGUCAUGGUUAAGUGGGAAACGAUGUGGGAAGGCCCAGACAGCCAGGAUGUUGGCUUAGAAGCAGCCAUCAUUUAAAGAAAGCGUAAUAGCUCACUGGUCGAGUCGGCCUGCGCGGAAGAUGUAACGGGGCUAAACCAUGCACCGAAGCUGCGGCAGCGACGCUGAUGCGUUGUUGGGUAGGGGAGCGUUCUGUAAGCCUGUGAAGGUGGCCUGUGAGGG